UAGGGAAUCUUCCGCAAUGGACGCAAGUCUGACGGAGCAACGCCGCGUGAGUGAAGAAGGAUUUCGGUUCGUAAAACUCUGUUGUUAGAGAAGAACAGCGCAUAGAGUAACUGUUAUGCGUGUGACGGUAUCUAACCAGAAAGCCACGGCUAACUACGUGCUAGCAGCCGCGGUAAUACGUAGGUGGCAAGCGUUGUCCGGAUUUAUUGGGCGUAAAGCGAGCGCAGGCGGUCAAUUAAGUCUGAUGUGAAAGCCCCCGGCUCAACCGGGGAGGGUCAUUGGAAACUGGUUGACUUGAGUGCAGAAGAGGAGAGUGGAAUUCCAUGUGUAGCGGUGAAAUGCGUAGAUAUAUGGAGGAACACCAGUGGCGAAGGAGACUCUCUGGUCUGUAACUGACGCUGAGGUUCGAAAGCGUGGGUAGCAAACAGG
This 429-nucleotide ribosomal RNA is filed under the name Bacteroidota bacterium. RNAcentral describes it as "Bacteroidetes bacterium partial 16S ribosomal RNA". It matches the Rfam family "Bacterial small subunit ribosomal RNA", at positions 355 to 776 of the family's 1533-position model. Lineage: Bacteria; Pseudomonadati; Bacteroidota. The record is from RNAcentral.